AGGGUAAUCUUUAACCAAAUUCAAAUCCUUCCUAUAAUCUUUCUAGGGUUUCUGUGAUCUUCCGAUUCUCUUUUUCUGGGCAUUCAAGAUUUCAGAAUCCUUCACAAGCAAUUAUUUUUCCCUCUCUCCCAUUACUCUCACACAUAAAAGGUGUAUGCAAAAAUGGUGAGAGGAAAGACUCAGAUGAAGAGGAUAGAAAAUGCAGCCAGCAGGCAAGUAACUUUUUCGAAGAGAAGAAAUGGGCUCCUUAAGAAGGCCUUUGAGCUAUCAGUUCUCUGUGAUGCUGAAGUUGCACUCAUCAUUUUCUCUCCCAGAGGAAAGCUCUAUGAGUUCUCCAGCUGCAG
RNAcentral lists this unclassified non-coding RNA (344 nucleotides) under Hevea brasiliensis (rubber tree). The record is from RNAcentral. Lineage: Eukaryota; Viridiplantae; Streptophyta; Magnoliopsida; Malpighiales; Euphorbiaceae.